GUAAGAAAUAAUUCAUACCAGUGAGUGUUGAAACUCAAACAAUGCAAAGGGGAGGCAAUAUCCAGUGAUUAGCAAUUUCAUAGCUUUUGCACAUCUGAGAAAUGUGUGCUCAGAUGAUUUGAUCUUCUGCAAGGAUGUUUUUAUAAGAAUUGUGUGUGUGCCGAUCUUUAAAAAG
Ceratotherium simum simum (southern white rhinoceros) is the source of this 175-nucleotide non-coding RNA. The record is from RefSeq and is a predicted model, not a curated record. NCBI's taxonomy places the organism in Eukaryota, Metazoa, Chordata, Mammalia, Perissodactyla, Rhinocerotidae.